CUACACUCCUGGGUCUGAUGAGGGCAAGCUCAAUAAAGGACCAGUGGACCCAAGGAUCGGGCGGGAACUUAGUUUUCUCAUGGUGUACCUGUUUACCUUCCGUUGCCCUGGAUUUUGACUGCCUCCUUCGUUUCCUUGACUCCUCGCUUGCCCCUGGACUUUGACGCCUCUCUCUCGCCCCGGAUCACCUGCCUGCCCCAUGGACUGCCUCGUUUGCUCUCUUCAACACUUGGUAACACACUUCAGCUAACUACACACAUAGUCUUACACCACACACUCUUGUAUUCUAGUUCACACUUCAUUUCCUUAGUUCAGUAGUAUUGUUUAUUAUUAUUUAUAUAUAUAUAUAUAUUGACUAUAUAUAUAAUAAAUAAUUGUAUAUACUG
Nerophis lumbriciformis (worm pipefish) is the source of this 386-nucleotide long non-coding RNA. RefSeq lists it as uncharacterized. NCBI's taxonomy places the organism in Eukaryota, Metazoa, Chordata, Actinopteri, Syngnathiformes, Syngnathidae. The record is from RefSeq and is a predicted model, not a curated record.